Molecule: long non-coding RNA, 1684 nt
Filed under: Ananas comosus (pineapple)
Lineage: Eukaryota; Viridiplantae; Streptophyta; Magnoliopsida; Poales; Bromeliaceae
Description: long non-coding RNA (ACOM_LNC041146)
Source: RNAcentral
GAAAAUACGGAGCUCUCUGCACUUGUAAGUUGGUUUCGAUAAUGAGACAUCUGAUCUGACGAUCGAUUCUGUUAGGCAUAAUCGAUACUAUUGAAACUAUUUAGAAACUAAAUUUCAUAAUUUUUUGAUAUUAUUUACUAUAUAAGGUCUCAAAAAUGACUAUUUUAACGGUUGAUCUGGCAUGUUUGUAAAUUCAAUGGUGUAGAACAGUCUAAAUUAUAUAAAAUUUUAUUAAAAAAAUUUAUUUAAUAUCAAUAGUAAAUCAAUAUUUCUUAUUUAAAAUUUGAAUCUUUUAUCAUUGUUUUUAAUGAGAUUUUUUUUUUCGUCCAUUCAUUUUUACACUACUUGUUCACUGGGCAAAUGAAAUUAAAAAAAAAUAAAAAUUGAUUUUUAUACAGUUCCAAUAGCGUAGACCAUACCUUAUGGAGCCGAUCAUCGAAUCGGAUGUCCCUCAUUGAAAACAACUUAUAAAUACGGAGGCCUCCGUACUUUCGAAAGAAUAGGAGCCUAGCUCUCGAUUUUGGUAUCUAAUUUUUUAAAAUUUUGAUUUUACUAUCUAAUUUUUUAAAUUAUUUGAUUUGAGUUAGUCAACCAACAGUUCUUUAACUCUAAAAUUUAAGUUAAUUAUUUAUNCUAGAGCUAUUAGUUCUACAAUCGAUCAUUAAGAUGAUCCUGAAUCUUUUGAUAAUUAGAAAAGUUUGAAAUAAUUGCAGUUAGACAGUAGAUCUCCUCAGCAUUAUGGUCGUUGAUAAAAGAGGGGAAAUUCUUAGUUGGUAAAAAUGUUUGGAACUUAUAUUAACUAUAAACCAUGUCGAUUUUGGGAGUAUGUCUCCUCUUGUGCUUUCGAAAGGACGAAGAUUUCCGUAUUUGUAAGUUAUUUUCGAUAAUGAGACAUCUGGUUUGACGAUCGGUUCUCUUAGGCAUAAUCGAUGCUAUUGGAACUAUUUAGAAAUCAAAUUUCAUAAUUUUUUUAUAUCAUUUAUUAUAUGAUCAAAAGCUCUCCAAAAUGGCUAUUUUAACGGUUGAUAUGGUAUGUUUUUAAAUUCAACGGUGUAGAACCGUCUAAAUUAUAUGAAACUUUAUUAGAAAAUUCUAUUUAACAUCAAUAGUAAAAUCAAUACUUCUAGUUUAAAAUUUGAAUCUUUUAUCGCUGUUUUUAAUGAAAUUUUUAUUUUCGGCCAUUCAUUUUUACACUACUCGUUCACUAGGCAAAUGAAAUUAAAAAAAAAAUAAAAAUUGAUUUUUACAUAGUUCCAAUAGCGUAGACCAUACCUAAUGGAGCCGAUCAUCGAAUCGGAUGUCCCUCAUUGAAAACAACUUAUAAGUACGGAGGCCUCUAUACUUUCGAAAGCAUAGGAGCCUAGCUCUCGAUUUUGGUAUCUAAUUAUUUAAAAUUUUGAUUUUACUAUCUAAUUUUUUAAAUUAUUUGAUUUGAGUUAGUCAACCAACAGUUCUUUAACUCUAAAAUUUAAGUUAAUUAUUUAUUUUAGUGAACUUAUAAUUAUGAGAAUUGUAUGAAAUAUGCUAACUACAACAGUAAAAAUAAACGAGGUAUUUAAAUUUUAAAGCAAAAGUACAAUUUUACUAAAUUAAAGUUUUAAACGACUGAGUAGCUAAAUUCAAAUAAUCCAUAGUUCAAAUAAAUUUUAUAUAUUUUUACCAUAUUAUUGGAUUGCAGUUAUCU